UAUCAAGUCAGAUGAAAGAAGAUUAGAUAUAAGCUGGUCUAGCGAACUAGUCAUAAAUCCUUCUAUUGACUUUACUAAGUCAUGAAGAGGACUAUAGAUAAGUUGAACUAGGGGCACCUAAAUCAGUCAUAUUGAUUUUCUAUUUAGCAAGGGUCAACUCCAAUCAUUAAAUGAUCUGAUCAAAAUAUGAUUUACCACGUUGGUCAGGUAAG
This 212-nucleotide long non-coding RNA is filed under the name Elaeis guineensis (African oil palm). RNAcentral's name for it is "long non-coding RNA (EGUI_LNC050909)". The record is from RNAcentral. Lineage: Eukaryota; Viridiplantae; Streptophyta; Magnoliopsida; Arecales; Arecaceae.